UGAAGGAGCCAUGAAUGUGAAUUUGCUUCCUUGACCUCUUUUCCAUUUCACUUGUUUUUUACUGUACAUGUUUUAGUUACCUAAAAUUAAUCAGACCUUUGGCACAAUUUUGAGUUGGUUUUCUGGCUGAAAAUGAAACAAGGAAUUGUUAAUCGUCAAAAGACUGUAAGAACUUGUUUCAAGAGAUUUUCAGAUGCCUGUUUUCAUAUUUUUUAUUCAAUCCAUCCUUUUUUUAUAAUGUUUGUCCUCACUUCUGGUUGCGGGUGAGCUUGAGCCUAUCUCACCUUGGACUGGUCGCCUGCCAUUCACAGGUGGCAUACAAUUUGCACUCACAUUCACACCAAUUAAAACAUUUUGUCUUCAAUUAAUUAAUGCAUGUUUUACGAAUGUGGAAGGAAUCCGUAGUACUGAGAAUAAAAAUACACGUAAGCUCAGGGAGAACAUGCAAACUCUAUAAUUUGUGUUGCAUUUUGAACUGUGUUUAUACUGUAUCCCUGAUCUUAUUGAACAAUUUGGGGAAACAGUUCAUCGCACUGUUCUGAACGAUACUGGUUACUUGUAGCAUAAUCUAGCAGUGGCGGUUAGCACAUCCACCUCACGGUUCUGAGGACCCAGGCCUCGCAUCCAGCCUCGCCUGUGUGGAGUUUGUGCCUGUGUAGGUUUUCUCCGAGUAGUCCGGUUUCCUCCUACAUUGCAAAAACAUGCGUGGUAGGUUAAUUGAAGACUAAAUUGUACAUACGUGUAAAUGUAAGUUCAAAUGGUUGUUUAUCUGUUUGUGCCCUGCGAUUGGCUGGCGACCAGUUCAGGAUGCACCUCCCUUGCCCAGAGUCAACUGAGAUAUGUGCCAGCACGCCCGUGACCCGAGUCAGGAUGAGCGGUAUGGAAAAUGGAUGUAUGGACAAUCUAGGAUUCUAAUCAGGGUUGGGCGAUAUAGACUAGUGAGCGUCACAGGCGCUAUCCAGGAGGAAUUAUUAUUAGGCCCCAAGCACGUGACCCGCGAGGUCCCUAUUGUAUCUGUAGAAAUUAUUCUUAUUAUUAGGGCCGGAGCGGGUGACCUCCGAGGUCCGUAUUGUAUCUGUAGAAAUUAUUCUUAUUAGGGCUCGAGCAGGUGACCUGCGAGGUCCCUAUUGUAUUUGUCGAAAUUCGUCUUCUUCUUACUAUUAUUAUUAUUAGGGCCCGAGCGGGUGACCUGCGAGGUUCCUAUUGUAUUUGUAGAAAUUAUUAAGGCCUGAGCAGGUGACCUGCGAGGUCCCUAUUGUAUUUGUAGAAAGUACAACAAAAUUGUAAUUACAACAGAAACUGACCUAGGAGCUUUUAAAGGUACACUUUUGGAAAAUUUACAGGUGUCACACUUUUGCGAACUUGUCCUACAGGUUUCAUCCGAUUGACUUCAAACUUGGUCAGUUUGAUCUCAACACAUGGGACAUUCAAAGUUAUCAAAAGCUUUUUUUAACCCGACAUAUGACGGUGGCAGCUCUUCAACCGUAGCUUUUCUCAUGUCGCCACUAUACAGGACAUGGUGACAGUUCAAAGAACUAUUUGCGGUUUGUUUCACACCUACGAAAAAUUCCUACACGCGUGUAACACCCCUACACGAACAAAAUUGUAAUUGCAACCCAUGUCCUAAACUCAACAGAAAACGAUCCACGGCCUUUUAAAUGUAACAUUCACAGUACUUAAAAGUCCCACCAUAAUUACCAACAAUACAUACAGUAAUGUAGUAGCCCUAGGAGUUCAUUACUUUCCCCCCCCCCCCAACAACUGCAUUUACUCAAUAUAACCUUUGAGAAGGCUUUGCACUUGUCCAACAGCAUUGUUGCCCUACCUAUGGCCUGGGGACCAUUUGCGGGCCAUCCCCCAUUUUUGUGUGGCCCGCAUUUUCUCAAUAUAACCUUUUACACGGCUUUGCACUUCUGACAGCAGGAGUGUUCAACCUAUGGCCCAGGGGUCAUUUGCAGCCGGUCCUCUCAUUUUGUGCAGCCGGAAAUUUUUCCAACAUAUGCAUGGGUCAUACUUUUGCACUUGUCCUACAGCGUGGUGUCCAAACUACAGCCCGGGGGCCAUUUGCAGCCCUUACUUCAUCGUGCCAAUACCCCAACCUGCCAGGACCUCAAACUUCCAACGGGGGCGGGGUGUGAGGGCCUGAUUAUAGCUGCUUGUAGCUGUUGUUAUUAUUAUUGUUAUUAUUAUUAUUGUAGUCAUCACAAACAAGGCCAUUUUUGAGGCACUAAACAUGCAUGAAAACUAAUGAAAUUUGGCACGCACAUGAAAUUUUGAUUAUUUCAUGUUUUCAGGUGAAAUAGCUUGACAGUCCCUCCUAGAACCAUGCCUAAACAACAUCAAAGGACAACUCGGUGAUCCGUUUGACCUACGGCUCUGAAAAUUGGUACGCAUAUAGAGAAGAACCAGACGCACAAAAAAGUCAAUGCGCGCAAUAUCGUAACUCCAACCGGAAGUGAACUAUGACCUUUUGAAGGAAAAUUGUGGAACAUUUUGGCAUUUUUUUCAGGGUUUAUACUUUUGCGAACUCUUCCUAUAGUUUUCAUCCGAUUCGCUUCAAACUUGGUGUGUAACAUCUCAAGACAAUUCUCCCGGUCCUCUCCCGGUGGGACGUGCCCGGAACACCUCACCAGGGAGGCGUCCGGGAGGCAUCCAAAUCAGAUGCCCCAGCCACCUCAUCUGGCUCCUCUCGAUGUGGAGGAGCAGCGGCUCUACUCUGAGAUCCUCCCGGAUGACCGAGCUUCUCACCCUAUCUCUAAGGGAGAGCCCGGACACCCUGCGGAGGAAACUAAUUUUGGCCGCUUGUAUCCGGGAUCUUGUUCUUUCGGUCAUGACCCACAAGCUCGUGACCAUAGGUGAGGGUAGGAAUGUAGAUGGACCGGUAAAUCGAGAGCUUCGCCUUCUGGCUUAGCUCCUUCUUCACCACAACGGAUCGAUACAAAGUCUGCAUCACUGCAGACGCUGCACCGAUCAGCCUGUCAAUCUCCCGUUCCAUUCUUCCCUCACUCGUGAACAAGACCCCAAGAUACUUGAACUCCUCCACUUGGGGCAGGAUCUCAUCCCCAACCUGGAGAGGGCAUGCCACCCUUUUCCGACUGAGGACCAUGGUCUCAGAUUUGGAGGUGCUCAUUCUCAUCCCAGCCCUUCACACACAGCUGCGAAUUGCUCCAGUGAGAGUUUGAGGUCACGGCUUGAUGAAGCCCACAGAACCACAUCAUCUGCAAAAAGCAGAGAUGCAAUACUGAGGCCACCAAACCGGACCCCCUCUACGCCUCGGCUGUGCCUAGAAAUUCUGUCCAUAAAAGUUAUGAACAGAAUCGGUGACAAAGGGCAGCCUUGGCGGAGUCCAACCCUCACCGGAAACGAGUCCGACUUACUGCCAGAUAUGCGGACCAAACUCUGACUCCGGUCGUACAGGGACCGAACAGCCCGUAUCAGGGGGUUGUAUCCCCCUGAAGAUUGUUAUGAAGAUUUAUUAAAAAAAAAAAAAAAAAAAAAAGAAAUAUCACACAGCCAUAAGUAUUCAGACCCAUUGCUGUACCACUCAUAUUUUUAACUCGGGUGCUGUCCAUUUCUUCAUCCUUGAGAUGGUUCUACAACUCAUUGGAGUCCAGCUGUGUUUGAUUAUACUGAAUGGUCUCAAGAUGGUGCCUACCCAUGUGGACGCCUCGGUUUACGCGCUCUCUAUUGUUUUUGUUUUUGUGUUUUUUGCUCGUCUUUGGCGACAUUACACGAUUCACUUACACAAGGGGAGACUUACUAACCAUUAUGAAGGCUACUCCGGACUUUCUUUCACCAACUUUCGCAAAUCCGGAUACAGAUACAGAUUGCCGUUUUCCUCCAUCCACCUCGCGAAUCUACGCUCCCUACACUCUUGCAGAAUCCCCUGUCAGAAGGAGUUUCAACUCCCACAGAGAGGUGACAUUCCACGUCCCUGGAGCCAGUUUCUGUAGCCGGGGAUCGGAUCGCCAAGGUCCCUGCCUUCAGCCACCGCCCAGCUCGCACUGCACCUGACCCCUAUGGCCCCUCCCACAGGUGGUGAGCCCAUGGGAAGGGGGACCCACGUUACCCUUUCGGGCUGUGCCAGGCGCUCGCCUUCGAGCCCCACCUCCAGGGUAUGGCUCCAAGAGACUUUUUUUUGUAUGGCUUGGGCUGCUACAUCCAUCCAUCCAUCCAUUUUCCGAACCGCUUAUCCUCACUCGGGUCGCGGGCGUGCUGGAGCCCAUCCCAGCUGACUCUGGGCGAGAGAUGGGGCACACCCUGAACUGGUCGCCGGCCAAUCGCAGGCCACAUAUAAAUAAACAAGCAUUCACACUCAGAUUCACACCUUCGGGCAAUUUAGUCUUCAAUUAACCUAUCAUGCAUGCUUUUGGAAUGUGGGAGGAAAUUGGAGUACCUGGAGAAAACUCACGGAGAAUAUGCCCCAGAACUGUGAGGCAGAUAUGCUAACCAGUUCACCGUGCCGCUGGGCUGUUACCUAUGCCUCCCAAUUUUGGUAGUCCUAGGUGAAACGUAUAGCCAGGGCUGCUUUUUUGAAAAUUUGUAGGGGCCACUAUCGCCUGGUGUGUACACAAAGUUUUACGAGUUUGCAUGCAUAUUUAGACACUUAAAACUGGUUUCUUCACAAAGAGAGCAGCAAACAGCGUGUCGCCAUGGCAACAGCUUUGCUUGAAAACUCACAAACUUUGUAUUGUGACAUCAUGAAGGCGUUAACAGUCCGCUGUGCAAAUAUUAACCUGCUAGCAGGAGAACAACAAAGUAUGAAAUGUCAUUUCCUUGUGCCAUUAGGUGGCGCAAUUAGUAAGACUAAUAUUUGUUCUGUAGAGCCCUUUAAGCAUGGACUGUCAAGUGUGUGAAAUUUAGAAAAGAUCUGACCACCUGGAGUUAAGUCACAGCUUUUGAUGUCAUGUUAAGUCAUCACAUUUUGCCUCGCGGCCGCGACCACAUCUUCUACCAAGACGUCAGCAAAGCAUGAUCAAGGUCUUUUUCCCCUAACUGGGAAAAAAAAAUAAAAAUCAGGUGGAUGUGCUAAACGUGCUCACCGCUGUACAUUAAACUGCCAGCAGUUUCCUGAGCAGGGAACCCCUCGACUGCCAGGCAUUUUCGAGCAAUUUCACUCAUAUUUCAAGCCCCACAGAAUAUUGUGUACUAUGACUAUGUAAAUACCAAAACCACCUAAAGAAAGAUUAGAUUUUCUUCUUUCAUCAGAAAAAAAUGUUUGUCUCUAGCUUAUACCGUUCUUUAGUAAUUAGCAGUCAAAUAUAGGCUACUUUCAGCCAAAUGUGUUUCUGGAAGAAAAAAAAUGAAAAAGCCUUUUUGUGAAAGCAGACAGAUCAAGCAGAACUUUGACAACAAUAUUUGUUUUCCUUUAGGGAAAAUCUCAAACAUCUGAACAUAAAACAACACUGAGAAAGUACUUUUGACAGAAAAAUAAUUUAUUUACACGUAUAUGUACAGAAUUUACAUUAGACAAAAAUGCAUGAACAAAUGGGCCUCCCACACUUGUGCUUUUUUUCCUCCAAAUUCCCCUCUUCUACCGUUUUCUCAAUAGUCCAGGUUUUUAUUACCUUGCGCAUAAAAUCUAGCAAAGUUUUAUCCACAUUUGAAUUUAAUUCUUUGGUGGCGGUGAAUGGGAUCUUGUGUGGUUGUCAUUGUCCUUGAAACCAGUCCCUACUUCUGCUCGAACCACAACCUGUGCAGUUUAGAAACAAAUACAUUGUUGAAAUUGCUGUCGUGGUACAUGGAAUAAAAAAAGCUUUCAAUUACCUUUUUUGUCUGCACUGCAUACAGGGAGUCGAACGUCUGCUGGAUGUAUAACCUGUAAGUUUUAAAAAAUACAUACCAUUACUAGAGAAUACUUUUUAUUGAUGACGUGUAUUGCAAGGGUUUAAAAAAAACAACAUUACUUUUCUUCGUCGCAAUCAUAGAAGACGUUAGACUCAAGGGUGUUGAAUCCUGCAAGAUGGACGAAAUGGAAAAUUGAAAUCAGUACUGGCAACAGAUGUUACAUUGUAAUGUGAACUAUCCAUCCAUCCAUUUUCUGAACCGCUUCUCCUCACUAGGGUCGCGGGCGUGCUGGAGCCUAUCCCAGCUGUCAUCGGGCAGGAGGCGGGGUACACCCUGAACUGGUUGCCAGCCAAUCGCAGGGCACAUAGAAACAAACAACCAUUCGCACUCACAGUCAUGCCUACGGGCAAUUUAGAGUCUCCAAUUAAUGCAUGUUUUUGGGAUGUGGGAGGAAACCGGAGUGCCCGGAGAAAACCCACGCAGGCACGGGGAGAACAUGCAAACUCCACACAGGCGGGGACGGGGAUUGAACCCCGCACCUCAGAACUGUGAGGCUGACGCUCUAACCAGUCGGCCACCGUGCCGCCGUAAUGUGAACUAGUGUGACAAAAUUGUGUUUUUAUGCAACAAUGAUUGAAGGAGCGUGUUUGCCCGCUAAAUGUAGCUAACGCGAGCUGCAAACGAGUUACCUUCGUCUCCAUAUGAUCCGGAGGGAUGAAGCUCGGCUGGCGAUGCAGAGGGAGUUCACUCAUCUGACGAUUCCGGAUUCCAUUUACUCGUAUCCUGGUCGGCAGAUGAUCACCUGGCAAGCGGCUGAGGAUCUUGUUAUAUGGCCCGGCAUUUUGGGCGAUAGCUUGGCAACAAAGCGAUGAGCUCGGAGCGUAAUUCUGGUUCGGGUGCCAUUCCUCAUUGCAGUUAUCCAGAGGCUUGACGAUCACACAUCAACCGCACAAGAGCCUCCCCUACCCACCCCCGUUAAAAAACGCCACUGACGUCUUUAGACGGCAUUGGCAGGGAAUAGAUGGUUUCUGAAUGAUGUCUUUGGAUGGCAUUGGCAGGGAAUGAGUUAAAAUCUAAAGGAAGACGUUUUUUGUCGCCACUAGGUGGCGCUAUAUGUACAAUGGAAUAUUGUCAUACAUAUGUGUUCAGGGCGUGACUUGUCUUUAUGUCUCAAAAGUGUUCUCUGUCAAUUGACUGUCUGUUGUCGUACAAGAGCGUCUCCAACUACCGGAGACAAAUUCCUUGUGUUUUUUGGACAUACUUGGCAAAUAAAGAUGAUUCUGAUUCUGAC
Phyllopteryx taeniolatus (common seadragon) is the source of this 7078-nucleotide long non-coding RNA. RefSeq lists it as uncharacterized. The transcript has 2 exons. The record is from RefSeq and is a predicted model, not a curated record. NCBI's taxonomy places the organism in Eukaryota, Metazoa, Chordata, Actinopteri, Syngnathiformes, Syngnathidae.